UCUGCGGCCGGCGGCGGCUCUGCCUUCAGGCGUCCGCCUCAAUCUCCUCUUCUGCCAGGUGGGGCCCGGAGUCCGGCCGGCCGGGGGCUGGGGCGCCCCGGGGCAGCGCGAGGCGGCCCUGGACGUCGGGGGACAGCGCGCUCAGCGAGGCCACGUCUGCGCGCAUCUCCUCCACGUCGCGCUUGAGCUUGGCGCGCCGGUUCUGGAACCACGUGACAACCUGUGCGUUGGCCAAACCGAGCCUCGCCGCCAGCCCGUCGCGCUCGGAAGGCGCCAGGUACUUCUGGAAGAGGAAGCGUCGCUCCAGCUCCAGCACCUGCUGCGCCGUGAACGCCGUCUCCCUCGGCCGUGAUUGCCCCGCCUACAGCGAACGGACGCCCGGGUCCCUCAGCUUUCGACAGACCCGCCCUGCCCCUCGGCGCUGGCGGCCUCCAGGAGCGGCCGCGAACCUGGGAACUAAUGGGGGGGAGGGGAGGAGCGGGAGACGCAAGUCCCAGCACGUGGGUCGAGGGCAGGGGGCAGAUUAGGGUGGCAGCCGGGGUGAACGAAGGUUCGAGACCGGGACCUGGAGGAGAGAGAUGGGGAGAAGGCCACGUCAAAGUGCGCGCCCCUGCCGGCGCUAUACCUUCAGAGGACUCCGGUGCGUGCCCGUCCAGUCCGCGGAACGCUUUACUAGUCAGCUCCUCCAGCGCACACAGAGGCGACGGGGGACCAGGGUUCGACUCUGGAAGCUGAGACGCAGAAGGCCCUCGGGCGACCAUGCGCGGGCCCAGGAUGUCUGCGAUGCUGAAGAGUGUCCGGGGUGGCCGGGGCUCGGGUCCCGAGCUCAUGGCCGGACGGGCUGUGGCGGUCCCGCCGCCGGCUGCGCUCGGCUCCGCAGCUGCCUGGGCCCCGGCGCGCGGCUCCCGAUCUGGGCCCCCCGCCUCGGACCCGCCCCCCGCGCUGGGCCCGAGCCCCGGGUGCCCCUCCUCCUGAGCCCCCAACCCCCAGCUCGGGGCCGGUGGGGCCGGGAGAUGUCAGGGCAGGGUGGGGAGGCUCGGAGAGUCCCGAAACAACCUGCUGUAGCGGGCUGCCGACCUGCUCCGGUGCACAUCCUGGCUGGACUCUUCCUGGACGGCCCCCGAGGUUCUGUGUGCCACCGACUCCCCGUCAAGCCGCUGCUCUGGCUCAUAACUAGCCGGCAAUAAAAUUGCUUCCCCUGGCCCCAGCGGAUGGGGAUUUGCAAAAUCCCAAGGAGGGAGAAUCGGAGCUGACUGUUCUAGGAUCUCCGAUCCCUCCUAGGAAGGACCUCAGUCUCCCGACCUAGCCCCCGCGUCCCCCCCCACCCCUGCGGAACGCUCUUAAAGAGGUCCCGGCGGCUGGAAGUUAUUAGCGCGGCGCGAGGGGGCUGGGGGAACUCGAGACUUGGAAGGACCUGGCCUGGCAGAGCGUCUGCAACCCCGGGGUAAUGAGGUUGCGAUGUGGAAGCAAAGGCAGGUGAGUGGACUCCUCCUGCUCUCUGGACCCAGACAGGUCCACAAGGCUCAGAGGCCCUGAAAAAGUCAAAACACAUGAAGAAACGGAGGACACCUGGACCUCAGGAGAGAGGACACAGCAAAUUAGCGCUCCUGCCUGGGCUGCGUCUUUGCCAGGGAAGACCGGCCUCCACAGUCACAGUCCAUCUUUGCCUCCUUGUUAAGCUCCUGUCGUUCAAAUAAGGGUUCUCCAGCCUGAGAAGCCCAGAAACCACCAUGUAGGAGCAGCAAGGGGAAGGGCCACUGGUCCUCCCCAGAGAAAAGUGACUUGAAGCGCAGACUUCAUGGACCCAGGCAGAUCAUGAGACAGAAACCCCUGCCAACUCAGCGACAAACUGUAGGGUCUGGGAUAGUCGUUCCUAUUUUAUCUGUGUCCUUUCACUUUUCUUCUACACCUACUCUAGUCCUGAGUGCUCACACCUGGGUGAGCACCCUGCAACACUCCUUUGUAGGAAGAAGGCAGCUCUGGGAGUGCUGCUUCAUCAGUGGAGGCCCAACAAGGCAAGAGUUCUGUUCACACAAACACCCCAAUAGCUAGGGGAUUCACAGCCCCGAGGCAGUGAAGUCCCACCACUCUUGAGCUCACCAUUCCUAAGGAACUCACCUCCACAGGAUUCUUCUAUUUUUUUUUUUUUUUUCCCAAUAGUGCCAAGAAGCCAUCCCUCCUAGACUGUGUUAUGUCACUCACCUCGGUAGAUCUCUGCACCUCCCACCAUUCAUGUAGUGAGCCUCUGUGCCUGUUCUCUGGGGCAAGUGGAGCCUGCAAUAGAGGCACCCUAGAGUCCGGGAGACGGAAGGCACCGGGGCCAAAGACUCCUUAACAAGGAGAAGAAGGCACUUUGAUAGUGAGGGUGAGGGAACCUCAUGUGGCCUGAGCACUGGCCUGGCCCACCAAACAAAGAUGAAGAAACACAAGGACUCCUUGUUGGUCAGCCCUCUACCCUCCCCCUGACACACCCAGACACUCGCAGAGUACCCUCCUGGCAGCCUGAACAGCACACUCUAGCCCAGUAGGCCACCGCUGGGGCAGAGAGCAGAGCCACACCACAGCAGAAAGCUGAGCUGCCUCAGGAUCUUGUAAAUUGGUUAUUAAUGGCGGGAGGUGGAGGGGGGCCAAGAGUGAUCCUCUCUGCUGGAGGCCUCAGUCCUCUGAACCAUCCUGGUGAUUUCACUUAAUCUCCAUUUAAAGAGGGUCCCAGAAGGCUGCAGGAACUGCGGAACUCAGGUCCCAGGCUUGUCAGACACCUCAGACCUUUACUCAGGCGACCUUCACUCAUGCAUCUUCUAAAUAGCUUUUAGGUCAUCUCUUCCUCUGCUUUCGAUUCCUAGUGUGUUUGUGGGGAGCGCCCUCUCUCCUGAGGGGUCUUUGCCUUCCUGCCCUUCUCGCUCUCCCGCCUAUCUUCUCCCCCCAGUAACCAGGCUCAGGUAAUGGGGUUGGACAAAAGGGUUGGGUGACCCCCAUUUGGGGGACAAAAGGGAAGGAGAGACUAGUAAAGGGAGGAGGCCACAGCAGAGCCCACUAAGAUCAGCCCAGUGGCCAGGGAGCCAGGGACGUGUCCAGACAAUGGUGGGGCCACAGGAGGGGACUUCUCCCAGCAAAGUCUCUGGAACCUGAGCUGGGAAGAAACCAGAUCCACCGAUGGGGGUAGGAGGAAGGUGAAUGAUUAAUGAGGGAGAUUAAGAGAUGAAAUCUGGGAUCUGGGCUUGGGGGGGCGGCGGGAGGUGAGGGAGUGGUUUGCAGUGCUCAGCUGCCUUGUAGGCUCUCCCACCCAUACCUCCCACCCCAGGGUCCAACCCUUCUUGUCCUGGGCAUUUCACAGAGUGAUUCCUAGAUACAGAGUGAGUGAGAAUCACAGAGUGAUUCCUAGAUACUCACCUCUCCACCCCCUCCCCGCGGGUGAGCGUUUUUCUCUCUCAGCAUUCUCCAGCAACCCAUCCUCAUCUCCCACCUCCUCGAUUCCCCUCACAAUCCUUUCAGACAUCCAGGGUCUUCUGCUCCUCCCUGUUGUGGAGCUCCCCACAUUCCAACUUUCACUCCCCCAGGAAGCCGCCUCCAUUCCAAUUUAAGGAUGCCUUCUCACACUUCUGCUCCUCACCCUUUCAGAUUUCCCCUUUCUUGUGGCCCCCACCUUCUCUGUCAUUCCCUGAUACCGCACUUUUCCACCACCUUGACUGCCUCAGCUUUCCAUCUGGUGGGUUCCUUGACCCAGGCCCACCAGACUGCUGGCAUGGAGAUAUGCUCAAUAAACCACCUUUAGUUUCGA
Canis lupus familiaris (dog) is the source of this 3778-nucleotide long non-coding RNA. RefSeq lists it as uncharacterized. The record is from RefSeq and is a predicted model, not a curated record. The transcript is spliced from 2 exons. Lineage: Eukaryota; Metazoa; Chordata; Mammalia; Carnivora; Canidae.